RNAcentral lists this ribosomal RNA (374 nucleotides) under uncultured organism. RNAcentral's name for it is "bacterial SSU rRNA". It matches the Rfam family "Bacterial small subunit ribosomal RNA", at positions 526 to 896 of the family's 1533-position model. The record is from RNAcentral.
CGUAGGAUCCGAGCGUUAUCCGGAGUGACUGGGCGUAAAGAGUUGCGUAGGUGGUUAGUAAAGUGAAUAGUGAAACCUGGUGGCUCAACCAUACAGACUAUUAUUCAAACUCACUAACUCGAGAAUAGCAGAGGUAACUGGAAUUUCUAGUGUAGGAGUGAAAUCCGUAGAUAUUAGAAGGAACACCAAUGGCGUAGGCAGGUUACUGGGCUAUUUCUGACACUGAGGCACGAAAGCGUGGGGAGCGAACCGGAUUAGAUACCCGGGUAGUCCACGCCGUAAACGAUGGAUACUAGCUGUUGGAGGUAUCGACCCCUUCAGUAGCGAAGCUAACGCGUUAAGUAUCCCGCCUGUGGAGUACGGUCGCAAGACUA